GGGACCCCAUGAUGCCCAGCACUGGGCUCUGACCAUCUGAGGACAUGGUGCCCCCGGGCCCUUUGACACCCGGGGGUCUGAGGGGCCC
RNAcentral lists this small nucleolar RNA (88 nucleotides) under Heterocephalus glaber (naked mole-rat). The record is from RNAcentral. Lineage: Eukaryota; Metazoa; Chordata; Mammalia; Rodentia; Bathyergidae.